Pogoniulus pusillus (Red-fronted tinkerbird) is the source of this 786-nucleotide long non-coding RNA. RefSeq lists it as uncharacterized. Lineage: Eukaryota; Metazoa; Chordata; Aves; Piciformes; Lybiidae. The record is from RefSeq and is a predicted model, not a curated record. The transcript is spliced from 3 exons.
AUGGCACCAGCGGCGGUCGCUCAAGGAGUCAUCCAGCAUGGCCUUGAGUAUCUCCAGGGAGGGGACAUCCACAGCCUCCCUGGGCAACCUGUGCCAGCAUCUCACGGCCCUCGCUGAGGAAUUUCUUCCUGAUCCCCACUCUAAAUCGGCCUCCCUCGACCUUAAAGGUGCUGCUUCUGAGCGCUGAGAGCCCUCCUACAAAGUGCCUGCAGAGGGCAGAGCAGAGGGGCCGUCACCUCCUGCAUCUUGCUGGUCAAGCUUCUUUGGAUGCAGACCAGGACACGGCUGCCUUCUGGGCUGCUGGUGACCAUCGCCAGCACAUGUUGAGUUUUUCAUCCUUCUCAAGACUGCUCUCAAGCCUCUCCUCGCUCAGCCUAUGUUUGUGCUUGGAGUAGCCAUGCCCCAGCUGCAGGACCCUGCAACUGGCCUUGUUGAACUUCAUGAGACUGCUACGGUCCCACCUCUCAAGCCUGUGCAAGUCCCUCUGGAUGGAUUCCCUCCCCUCCAGCAUGUCAACCAGACCACACAGCUUGGAUGUCAAUCUGCAGACUUGCUGAGGGUGCCUCAAUCUUUCUGUCCUUGUUGCUGACAAAGAUGUUAAAGAGCACUAGUCACAAAAGGCAAAACAUCCAUAAGAAGGACAGAAGAAAGCACAGAAGUGUCAAAAACUGCGGUGUAAAUUUCACAGGAGGGACUACUCUGAGACAUGGAGGAAAAAUACUGAAUUAAGGCUACCUGAAUAGUAAUAAAUGCUGGCUCUCUUCUCACACAAAAGGAAUCACAACC